GCGAGGGUGGCGGAACUGGCAUACGCGCUAGAUUUAGGAUCUAGUCCCUUUACAGGGAUGCGGGUUCAACUCCCGCCUCUCGCA
This 84-nucleotide transfer RNA is filed under the name bacterium. Its description in RNAcentral is "tRNA-Leu". It matches the Rfam family "tRNA". From Rfam's summary of the family: Transfer RNA (tRNA) molecules are approximately 80 nucleotides in length. Their secondary structure includes four short double-helical elements and three loops (D, anti-codon, and T loops). The record is from RNAcentral.